This 343-nucleotide unclassified non-coding RNA is filed under the name uncultured fungus. Its description in RNAcentral is "sequence contains ITS1". The stretch from base 1 to 103 matches the Rfam family "5.8S ribosomal RNA", at positions 50 to 154 of the family's 154-position model. The record is from RNAcentral. Lineage: Eukaryota; Fungi.
AAAAUGCGAAACGUGAUGCGAUUUGCAUGAAUCUGUGAGUCAUCUAAUCUUUGAACGCGAAUGGCACUGUUAUGUAAGUAACAGUAUGUCUGUUUGAGAAUCGCAAAAACAAGAUCAACUCUAGUUGAGAGUUGGGAUUGGUCUUAUACAUCUAGUGGUGUAUUUGACUUGAUUAUAUCGAGUUGAUGAGCUUCCCAAUGCGGCUCAAUGUGUGCUAGCGAGACAGUCGUCCCGAUCUCACAUUUAUUGUCGCAUUGCAGAGUUCUGUCCACAGCUCGCUAAACAACCUAAAAAUCAUAUCAAAUACGAUCUCAAAUCAGGCAAGAUUACCCGCUGAACUUAA